GACGAACGCUGGCGGCGUGCUUAACACAUGCAAGUCGUACGGUAAGGCCCUUUCGGGGGUACACGAGUGGCGAACGGGUGAGUAACACGUGAGUAACCUGCCCACAACUUUGGGAUAACGCUAGGAAACUGGUGCCAAUACUGGAUAUGUGCUCCUGCUGCAUGGUGGGGGUUGGAAAGCUCCGGCGGUUGUGGAUGGACUCGCGGCCUAUCAGCUUGCUGGUGGGGUAGUGGCCUACCAAGGCGGCGGCGGGUAGCCGGCCUGAGAGGGUGACCGGCCACAGUGGGACUGAGGUACGGCACAGACACCGACGGGAGGCAGAAGUGGGGAAUAUUGCAGAAUGGGCGCAAGCCUGAUGCAGAAACGCCGCGUGCGGGAUGACGGCCUUCGGGUUGUAAAACGAAUUCAGCAGGGACGAUGCUUUUUGUGACGGUACCUGCAGAAGAAGCACCGGCUAACUACGUG
RNAcentral lists this ribosomal RNA (465 nucleotides) under uncultured bacterium. Its description in RNAcentral is "partial 16S ribosomal RNA". It matches the Rfam family "Bacterial small subunit ribosomal RNA", at positions 28 to 507 of the family's 1533-position model. The record is from RNAcentral.